Molecule: long non-coding RNA, 1022 nt
Filed under: Malus domestica (apple)
Lineage: Eukaryota; Viridiplantae; Streptophyta; Magnoliopsida; Rosales; Rosaceae
Description: long non-coding RNA (MDOM_LNC000023)
Source: RNAcentral
UGUAUUUAAAAGUUGAUUCUGCAUUCUAAAUUGAAUUCCAAGUGUCUAUUUCAUUGCUUUGCUUGCUAUCGCUUUAAGAACGUUUGUUAUUCCUACCCUUUCUUUAUUAGCCAUUACCCCCAAGCCCUGUUAUGACCCUUGACUUCAAUCUUGAGUGUUGUGUGUUUCAAUUUGUGGAGUUCGAAAUUGGUAUGAGCAUAUGGUAUCACUGGUUCUCGCAUCUAAGUAGUAGCAUUCCAUUCAUGAGAUCAUAUCUAAACAUGCUUAAUAACUUCAGAAAACUGCUUUCUUUGUUAUAACAUAUGUGAGUCCUAGUCUUUCGCGUUUACAUUAAUCUUCUCAUAUAUACUAGUGUAGGGUGUGUAGUCAGAAACUGUGUGUGAAAUUAGAGAGUAUCUUGUAAGAAAUUGAGCAAAUUCUCUAAAGCAUGUUACUACAUUCAAAACAUCGUUUUAAUUGGUUAAUUGUGAACUAAUAAGUGGUGACUGUGAUUAAGUUUGUGCUCAAGUGUAAAGAUGACCAAAUUCUGUGGGAAUGAUGAUUUUUAACAUGUCAUGUUUCAUUAAAAAUCCCUGAGGCAAAUGUUGGAAGGUCUAGGUUGUGUUUUGUUUGUUUUGUUUCGUUUUGUUUCUUUUGUUUUGCUCGAGGACUAGCAAAAGCUAAGUGUGGAGAAAUUUGAUAGGAGCAUAUUUAUGCGACUUAGUUAGCUUGGUCUUGUGCAUUUGUGUUGUUAUUUCUUAGUUGAUUUAGUAUUUCAAGCCAUUUUCGUGUGGUUGUAGGUACAAAGGGUUAAAGAGGCAAAGAAGUGCAUUUUGGUGCCUUUUGGAGCAGUUUUGGCAUGGAAUGGAUAUCACAUGCAUGGAGCAAAGUGGUUGGACGAAAUUAAAGAUCUAAAGAAGCUAGGAAUGUGCCAAGGAAAGGAAGAAAAUAAAUUAAGGACCAAGGAAGACAAGGAAACCAUUAAGAAUGAGGAAAGACUAGUCAAACUUGCCUUAUCUUGUCGUUACCUCUCCUAAUCCGAA